RNAcentral lists this ribosomal RNA (466 nucleotides) under uncultured bacterium. Its description in RNAcentral is "partial 16S ribosomal RNA". It matches the Rfam family "Bacterial small subunit ribosomal RNA", at positions 29 to 507 of the family's 1533-position model. The record is from RNAcentral.
AUGCACGCUGGCGGCGUGCUUCACCCCUGCCGGUCGGACGGAAAGGCCCAAGCUUGCUUGGGUACUCGAGUGGCGAACGGGGGAGUAACACGUGGGUGAUCUGCCCUGCACUUCGGGAUAAGCCUGGGAAACUGGGUCUAAUACCGGAUAGGACCACUUCUUGGAUGUUGUGGUGGAAAGUUUUUUCGGUGUGGGAUGAGCUCGCGGCCUAUCAGCGUGUUGGUGGGGUAAUGGCCUACCGAGGCGCCGACGGGUAGCCGGACUGUGAGGGUGGACGGCCACCUUGGGACUGAGGUGCGGCCCAGGCUCCUACGGGAGGACGCAGUGGGGAAGCCUGCACCAUGCGCACCAGCCUGAUGCAGCGACGCCGCGUGGUGGAUGACGGCUUUCGGGUUGUAAACUCCUUUCGCUAGGGACGAAGCGUUUUGUGACGGUACCUGGAGAAGAAGCACCGGCUAACUACGUG